CGCCUUCAUGCUGCUGCUUCUCUUGGAAACCAGUGAAUGCUAUGUCAAUAAAAGCAUAAACUAAAUACUUUGUAGCUUUCCUGCCACUGAUUGUACUAUCUUGAUUAUGGGAACUGUAUAAAUAACAGUU
This is a small nucleolar RNA of Sorex araneus (European shrew), 130 nucleotides long. Lineage: Eukaryota; Metazoa; Chordata; Mammalia; Eulipotyphla; Soricidae. The record is from Ensembl.